UCAGUUUACUUUCUGUAUGUUAGGAUGG
Molecule: non-coding RNA, 28 nt
Filed under: Mus musculus (house mouse)
Lineage: Eukaryota; Metazoa; Chordata; Mammalia; Rodentia; Muridae
Source: RNAcentral